Molecule: ribosomal RNA, 497 nt
Filed under: uncultured bacterium
Lineage: Bacteria
Description: partial 16S ribosomal RNA
Rfam family: Bacterial small subunit ribosomal RNA
Source: RNAcentral
GACGAACGCUGGCGGCGUGCCUAGUACAUGCAAGUUGAGCGCUGAAGGUUGGUGCUUGUACCAACUGGAUGAGCAGCGAACGGGUGAGUAACGCGUGGGGAAUCUGCCUUUGAGCGGGGGACAACAUUUGGAAACGAAUGCUAAUACCGCAUAAAAACUUUAAACACAAGUUUUAAGUUUGAAAGAUGCAAUUGCAUCACUCAAAGAUGAUCCCGCGUUGUAUUAGCUAGUUGGUGAGGUAAAGGCUCACCAAGGCGAUGAUACAUAGCCGACCUGAGAGGGUGAUCGGCCACAUUGGGACUGAGACACGGCCCAAACUCCUACGGGAGGCAGCAGUAGGGAAUCUUCGGCAAUGGACGAAAGUCUGACCGAGCAACGCCGCGUGAGUGAAGAAGGUUUUCGGAUCGUAAAACUCUGUUGGUAGAGAAGAACGUUGGUGAGAGUGGAAAGCUCAUCAAGUGACGGUAACUACCCAGAAAGGGACGGCUAACUACGUG